Molecule: ribosomal RNA, 550 nt
Filed under: uncultured bacterium
Lineage: Bacteria
Description: partial 16S ribosomal RNA
Rfam family: Bacterial small subunit ribosomal RNA
Source: RNAcentral
UGGGGAAUAUUGGACAAUGGGCGCAAGCCUGAUCCAGCAAUGCCGCGUGAGUGAUGAAGGCCUUAGGGUUGUAAAGCUCUUUCGCACGCGACGAUGAUGACGGUAGCGUGAGAAGAAGCCCCGGCUAACUUCGUGCCAGCAGCCGCGGUAAUACGAAGGGGGCUAGCGUUGUUCGGAAUUACUGGGCGUAAAGGGCGCGUAGGCGGCCUGUUUAGUCAGAAGUGAAAGCCCCGGGCUCAACCUGGGAAUAGCUUUUGAUACUGGCAGGCUUGAGUUCCGGAGAGGAUGGUGGAAUUCCCAGUGUAGAGGUGAAAUUCGUAGAUAUUGGGAAGAACACCGGUGGCGAAGGCGGCCAUCUGGACGGACACUGACGCUGAGGCGCGAAAGCGUGGGGAGCAAACAGGAUUAGAUACCCUGGUAGUCCACGCCGUAAAACGAUGAAUGCUAGACGUCGGGGUGCAUGCACUUCGGUGUCGCCGCUAACGCAUUAAGCAUUCCGCCUGGGGAGUACGGCCGCAAGGUUAAAAACUCAAAAUGAAUUGACGGGGUC